This 1008-nucleotide long non-coding RNA is filed under the name Strigops habroptila (Kakapo). RNAcentral's name for it is "lncRNA (ENSSHBG00005001405.1)". Lineage: Eukaryota; Metazoa; Chordata; Aves; Psittaciformes; Psittacidae. The record is from RNAcentral.
UUUCUCUAUUAAAUCGAUGUUUAUUGCUUAAAUUUUAUCACAGUGGAGAUUAAAUUAUGCUUAAUCAUCCGGUCAGUGCUUUUGUACCUUCUGCAAUGCCAAAAAAAACCCAUUUAAACCAAGUCAUUCAUACACUCUUAAGUCUUAUUACCAUCCCACCAUUCAUUGCCUCUGUGUGCUCCUUUAGUUGCCACAGACUUCAAGAUUGUAAAAAGGUAUAGCUAAUAGGCUUAUUUAUAAUACCAUUUUCUUCAAGUAUUCAGAAAGCAGUACAAGUAGCUGUACUGUACAUAAGAAACAUAUCUGUACUGUUAUUUAUUGCUACAGGAUAGAGGCUCCUGAUGGAAUGAUAGUGAAAUACUGCAUCACUGUGUAUGAAGAUGAUCUCAGCAUCCUGUAAUCGUCACAACUCUUCCCAUGUUAGUGAACAACACUAGAUAAAUGGGCUUCUUUCCUUUCUCCUUCAGGCAUGGGAUUUCAAACUACAAAUAAAUAAAGCAUACACUCACAACAUGUGUAGUGCAAAUUCCAAGUAAACAGAAUGACAUGGAAAUAAACUCAUAGUUGCCAACUUUGGUACAGCAGGGCAGUGAUGAUUUUAUGCCCAGCGCCCUGCAUCCCCAACCUUGGUGCACACCACCGCCGGCGUCCCGUGUCGGCGACAAUGAUUGAAAGAGAUUGUUGCAGGGGAAGGGGGAGAUGACCGCUUCUGCAAACCUUCCUCUGGGGCGGCCAGGCUUCACCCCACACGUCCCGCCAGCCCUCGGAAGGAAGGCAAGGAGGCAGGCUGGUCACCUACCCAGAGAGCAGCCCCGCAUCAAAGAAUGCGGAUUGGCAACUAUGUGAAACAGGGAUUGCAUGGCCCAGACUAAUAGAAGGUAAUAUUUUUCCAGAUACAACCAUUGAAAGAGAACAUCUACAACAUUGUGAUUUAGAAAGAACUUAAUACUAAUGAGAAUUAAUAGGAAAAGACAUUCAGCUCUGGGGUGGGGGGAUGUUUGUGGUUUU